GUAGGUGGCAAGCGUUAUCCGGAAUUAUUGGGCGUAAAGCGCGCGCAGGCGGUUUCUUAAGUCUGAUGUGAAAGCCCACGGCUCAACCGUGGAGGGUCAUUGGAAACUGGGGAACUUGAGUGCAGAAGAGAAAAGCGGAAUUCCACGUGUAGCGGUGAAAUGCGUAGAGAUGUGGAGGAACACCAGUGGCGAAGGCGGCUUUUUGGUCUGUAACUGACGCUGAGGCGCGAAAGCGUGGGGAGCAAACAGGGAUUAGAUACCCUGGUAGUCCACGCCGUAAACGAUGAGUGCUAAGUGUUAGAGGGAUUCCGCCCUUUAGUGCUGCAGCUAACGCAUUAAGCACUCCGCCUGGGAGUACGGUCGCAAGACUG
RNAcentral lists this ribosomal RNA (371 nucleotides) under uncultured organism. RNAcentral describes it as "partial 16S ribosomal RNA". It matches the Rfam family "Bacterial small subunit ribosomal RNA", at positions 527 to 896 of the family's 1533-position model. The record is from RNAcentral.